RNAcentral lists this long non-coding RNA (230 nucleotides) under Setaria italica (foxtail millet). Its description in RNAcentral is "long non-coding RNA (SITA_LNC000457)". The record is from RNAcentral. Lineage: Eukaryota; Viridiplantae; Streptophyta; Magnoliopsida; Poales; Poaceae.
GGAAGCUGGGACUGGCACUGAUAGGAAGAUGACUCUGGAGGACAUCCAGUUGAUCAAUGAUCCACUACUGAACCCAAAGAUGAUAGCUACUAUCAUGGAGAUGCACCGUCGUCUCAGUACUUAUGCGGAGGUGAGUUGAAUUUGCCUUGCUUUGCUGCCGCAAUAUUUGCUAGCUUGUACUUAUUUGAUGGUUCGAGUACUAAUUUUUGAGUUUCCAGGACUUGAUCAAU